ACCGUCCUUCACGGGAGUCCGGAGCACCGGGCUGAGAGGGGGCUGACGCAGCCCCGACCGUCCCAACCUGAUCCGGAUCAUGCCGGCGCAGGGACCAAGGAGUUGCGAUGAC
Intrasporangium calvum DSM 43043 is the source of this 112-nucleotide regulatory RNA element. It matches the Rfam family "TPP riboswitch aptamer (THI element)". Rfam says of the family: Vitamin B(1) in its active form thiamin pyrophosphate (TPP) is an essential coenzyme that is synthesised by coupling of pyrimidine and thiazole moieties in bacteria. The previously detected thiamin-regulatory element, thi box was extended, resulting in a new, highly conserved RNA secondary structure, the THI element, which is widely distributed in eubacteria and also occurs in some archaea. The record is from Rfam. NCBI's taxonomy places the organism in Bacteria, Bacillati, Actinomycetota, Actinomycetes, Micrococcales, Intrasporangiaceae.